This 505-nucleotide ribosomal RNA is filed under the name uncultured bacterium. Its description in RNAcentral is "partial 16S ribosomal RNA". It matches the Rfam family "Bacterial small subunit ribosomal RNA", at positions 28 to 507 of the family's 1533-position model. The record is from RNAcentral.
GACGAACGCUGGCGGCGUGCCUAAUACAUGCAAGUAGAACGCACAGUUUAUACCGUAGCUUGCUACACCAUAGACUGUGAGUUGCGAACGGGUGAGUAACGCGUAGGUAACCUGCCUGGUAGCGGGGGAUAACUAUUGGAAACGAUAGCUAAUACCGCAUAAUAUUGAUUAUUGCAUGAUAAUUGAUUGAAAGAUACUAUUGCAUCACUACCAGAUGGACCUGCGUUGUAUUAGCUAGUAGGUGAGGUAACGGCUCACCUAGGCGACGAUACAUAGCCGACCUGAGAGGGUGAUCGGCCACACUGGGACUGAGACACGGCCCAGACUCCUACGGGAGGCAGCAGUAGGGAAUCUUCGGCAAUGGACGAAAGUCUGACCGAGCAACGCCGCGUGAGUGAAGAAGGUUUUCGGAUCGUAAAGCUCUGUUGUAAGAGAAGAACGGGUGUGAGAGUGGAAAGUUCACACUGUGACGGUAUCUUACCAGAAAGGGACGGCUAACUACGUG